AUCCUAGGAGCCACGCUGGGUCUCUGGCAGGACCACUCAGUGAACUCCUUGGGGGGCUGCAGCCCAGGCAGGGCUGGAGCCUGUGACGUCCCCUCCUCAAAGUUUGCAGACACAGACAACAUUCUGACCAACAAUCAGACUCUGCGGCUUCUCAUGGGGCAGGGGCUUCCAGUGGUGGCCCCAAUGCUGGACUCCCAGACCUACUACUCCAACUUCUGGUGUGGGAUCACCCCCCAGGGCUACUACCGCCGCACAGCUGAGUACUUCCCCACCAAGAACCGCCAGCGCCGGGGCUGCUUCCGUGUCCCCAUGGUCCACUCCACCUUCCUUGUAUCCCUGCGGGCUGAAGGGGCAGACCAGCUUGCUUUCUACCCGCCACAUCCCAACUACACUUGGCCUUUCGACGACAUCAUCGUCUUCGCCUAUGCCUGCCAGGCUGCUGGGGUCUCCGUCCACGUGUGCAAUGAGCACCGUUAUGGGUACAUGAAUGUGCCGGUGAAAUCCCACCAGGGGCUGGAAGACGAGAGGGUCAACUUCAUCCACCUGAUCUUAGAAGCACUAGUGGACGGCCCCCGCAUGCAGGCCUCAGCUCAUGUGACUCGGCCCUCUAAGAGGCCCAGCAAGAUAGGGUUUGACGAGGUCUUUGUCAUCAGCCUGGCUCGCAGGCCUGACCGUCGGGAACGCAUGCUCGCCUCGCUCUGGGAGAUGGAGAUCUCUGGGCGGGUGGUGGACGCUGUGGAUGGCCGGAUGCUCAACAGCAGUGCCAUCAGGAGCCUCGGCGUAGACCUGCUCCCGGGCUACCAGGACCCUUACUCGGGCCGCACUCUGACCAAGGGCGAGGUGGGCUGCUUCCUCAGCCAUUACUCCAUCUGGGAAGAGGUGGUUGCCAGGGGCCUGGCCCGGGUCCUGGUGUUUGAGGAUGACGUGCGCUUUGAGAGCAACUUCAGGGGGCGGCUGGAGCGGCUGAUGGAGGAUGUGGAGGCAGAGAAACUGUCUUGGGACCUGAUCUACCUCGGACGGAAGCAGGUGAACCCUGAGAAGGAGACGGCCGUGGAGGGGCUGCCGGGCCUGGUGGUGGCUGGGUACUCCUACUGGACGCUGGCCUAUGCCCUGAGCCUGGCGGGUGCCCGCAAGCUGCUGGCCUCACAGCCUCUGCGCCGCAUGCUGCCCGUGGACGAGUUCCUGCCCAUCAUGUUCGACCAGCA
RNAcentral lists this small RNA (1205 nucleotides) under Pan troglodytes (chimpanzee). Its description in RNAcentral is "retained intron". Lineage: Eukaryota; Metazoa; Chordata; Mammalia; Primates; Hominidae. The record is from RNAcentral.